GGUGCGUUUGGGGGGCUUAUUAACAGCGGUGGCGUUUUGCUGUAGAAACCCGCGAUCGGCGUUUCGGUCAAGCAAAAGACAUUUGUUGCCCUCGCUCACGCCCUCGCUCUCUGCCCUAAAAAUCACUAUCUCCUCUCCUCCUCCUCUCGCACGGUCGGAGAACGGGCGGAGCACGCCUGCGCCGAAGACUCGCUAUCUCAUCUCCUCCUCUCGCACGGUCGGAGAACGGGCGGAGCACUCCUGCGCCAAAGAUUCGCUUUGCUAUCUCUUUUCCUUCUCUCGCACGGACGGGGAACGGGCAGAGCACGCCUGUGAGCCAAAGUCUCCUCCCCUCCUCCGACUCACCUGCGUUCUGCCCCCAUUUCUCUCGGCUUGAGCAAGAGAUCGAAUCGCGUUUGAAAACGAGUGAAGUCUUGGCCUAGUUGAUGCUAUAUCAUGACAGUAAAUUAGUUGUAUCUGAUGAGCUUGUGUGCAAGUAUGAAAGAGGUCGAAGUAUGCCUAUUUGUGUCCUGCCACAUACUACAUGUAUGAAGAUGAAAGAAUUAAUUAUGCGAAGCUUAACAUAUGACUCAUGUGUGCAUACAUAGAAUCUAAUAUAUCAUUACUAAAUCAAUGAUGGAUCUGUUACAACUCAUGUCGAUAAUGAUGAGCUGACUGUGGUUGUUUUAGAAGAAGCUUCAAAUAAAGUUUUAAUGAUAUAUGUCGAGAUUGUUCCAACUCAAAAAGAUGAUCAUAGCGUUGAUCACAUAAUAUCAGAAUCAUCCUCAAACAUCGUUGGCAUCUAUUUUUGAUGGAGCACAUUGGAUGUCCUUCUGAGCAAUGUUACAUUCUUACGCAACUUCCCGACACUUGAGAGGAGUAUGUUGAGUCUUCAGCAGGUACGUCGUGCGCCAGAUUGAGGGUCUGUCACAUUCUGAUUGUGCUCGGAAGUGACAACCGUCGGUAUAACACUUGAAGCGGAUUGGAGCUGAAACGGGGUGAAACAUAGGUAAAACGGAAGCAAAUGAGGGUGCUACCAGACUGGCUCCUAGGCGCCAGUCUCCACCCACAAAAUAGAGAAGAUGGCGCCUAGGCGCCCGAACUGUUCAGGGGCAGUUUCUGCACGCCCUAAGGAGUUAUUUGAGGGAUCUAGACGUUUGAAAAAUACUCUUUGACAUUUCUAAAUCCUGGAUUUCUCCAAGAAGGUUGAGAGGUCGUAAAUAGAAGUAUGAAAUGUAGAUUUUUACCUUGUAUGGAGAGAUUGGUGAGUGGAUUUUGAGAGAUAUCUUUAAGGGAUUGUAUUAGCUUUGCAUGGAUCACCGAAAGACUUUGUUGGAGGGAUUUUCAUCUUUCUUUCAGAGAGAAAAAUCUAAGCCAUGUGUUUUUUAUUAUCUUGUACUUGUUGUAAACAUUUAUCUAUGGAUUUUCUUUGAUUUAAUGAAG
Long non-coding RNA from Phalaenopsis equestris, 1422 nucleotides. RefSeq lists it as uncharacterized. The transcript has 3 exons. NCBI's taxonomy places the organism in Eukaryota, Viridiplantae, Streptophyta, Magnoliopsida, Asparagales, Orchidaceae. The record is from RefSeq and is a predicted model, not a curated record.